GACGGAGGGUGCAAGCGUUGUUCGGAUUCACUGGGCGUAAAGGGUGCGCAGGUGGGUUUGCAAGUUUGAUGUGAAAGCCCCGGGCUUAACCCGGGAAUGGCAUUGAAUACUGCAGAUCUGGAGGAUUGGAGGGGGGACUGGAAUUCUUGGUGUAGCAGUGAAAUGCGUAGAUAUCAAGAGGAACACCAGUGGCGAAGGCGAGUCCCUGGACAAUACCUGACACUGAGGCACGAAAGCCAAGGGAGCAAACAGG
Molecule: ribosomal RNA, 253 nt
Filed under: uncultured bacterium
Lineage: Bacteria
Description: partial 16S ribosomal RNA
Rfam family: Bacterial small subunit ribosomal RNA
Source: RNAcentral